AGACCCGAAACCCGGUGAUCUAGCCAUGGGCAGGUUGAAGGUUGGGUAACACUAACUGGAGGACCGAACCGACUAAUGUUGAAAAAUUAGCGGAUGACCUGUGGCUGGGGGUGAAAGGCCAAUCAAACCGGGAGAUAGCUGGUUCUCCCCGAAAGCUAUUUAGGUAGCGCCUCGUGAAUUCAUCUCCGGGGGUAGAGCACUGUUUCGGCUAGGGGGCCAUCCCGGCUUACCAACCCGAUGCAAACUGCGAAUACCGGAGAAUGUUAUCACGGGAGACACACGGCGGGUGCUAACGUCCGUCGUGAAGAGGGAAACAACCCAGACCGCCAGCUAAGGUCCCAAAGUCAUGGUUAAGUGGGAAACGAUGUGGGAAGGCCCAGACAGCCAGGAUGUUGGCUUAGAAGCAGCCAUCAUUUAAAGAAAGCGUAAUAGCUCACUGGUCGAGUCGGCCUGCGCGGAAGAUGUAACGGGGCUAAACCAUGCACCGAAGCUGCGGCAGCGACGCUGAUGCGUUGUUGGGUAGGGGAGCGUUCUGUAAGCCUGCGAAGGUGGCCUGUGAGGGUUGCUGGAGGUAUCAGAAGUGCGAAUGCUGACAUAAGUAACGAUAAAGCGGGUGAAAAGCCCGCUCGCCGGAAGACCAAGGGUUCCUGUCCAACGUUAAUCGGGGCAGGGUGAGUCGACCCCUAAGGCGAGGCCGAAAGGCGUAGUCGAUGGGAAACGGGUUAAUAUUCCCGUACUUGGUGUUACUGCGAAGGGGGGACGGAGAAGGCUAUGUUGGCCGGGCGACGGUUGUCCCGGUUUAAGCGUGUAGGUGUGUGUUCCAGGUAAAUCCGGUUCACUUUAACACUGAGGCGUGACGACGAGGCACUACGGUGCUGAAGCAACAAAUGCCCUGCUUCCAGGAAAAGCCUCUAAGCAUCAGGUAACAUCAAAUCGUACCCCAAACCGACACAGGUGGUCAGGUAGAGAAUACCAAGGCGCUUGAGAGAACUCGGGUGAAGGAACUAGGCAAAAUGGUGCCGUAACUUCGGGAGAAGGCACGCUGACACGUAGGUGAAGUGAUUUACUCAUGGAGCUGAAGUCAGUCGAAGAUACCAGCUGGCUGCAACUGUUUAUUAAAAACACAGCACUGUGCAAACACGAAAGUGGACGUAUACGGUGUGACGCCUGCCCGGUGCCGGAAGGUUAAUUGAUGGGGUCAGCGCAAGCGAAGCUCCUGAUCGAAGCCCCGGUAAACGGCGGCCGUAACUAUAACGGUCCUAAGGUAGCGAAAUUCCUUGUCGGGUAAGUUCCGACCUGCACGAAUGGCGUAAUGAUGGCCAGGCUGUCUCCACCCGAGACUCAGUGAAAUUGAACUCGCUGUGAAGAUGCAGUGUACCCGCGGCAAGACGGAAAGACCCCGUGAACCUUUACUAUAGCUUGACACUGAACAUUGAGCCUUGAUGUGUAGGAUAGGUGGGAGGCUUUGAAGUGUGGACGCCAGUCUGCAUGGAGCCGACCUUGAAAUACCACCCUUUAAUGUUU
This 1524-nucleotide ribosomal RNA is filed under the name Salmonella enterica subsp. enterica serovar Durham. Its description in RNAcentral is "partial 23S ribosomal RNA". It matches the Rfam family "Bacterial large subunit ribosomal RNA", at positions 711 to 2215 of the family's 2925-position model. Lineage: Bacteria; Pseudomonadati; Pseudomonadota; Gammaproteobacteria; Enterobacterales; Enterobacteriaceae. The record is from RNAcentral.